Salvia hispanica is the source of this 104-nucleotide small nuclear RNA. Lineage: Eukaryota; Viridiplantae; Streptophyta; Magnoliopsida; Lamiales; Lamiaceae. The record is from RefSeq and is a predicted model, not a curated record.
UUGUUAGGAUGUCGACACCAAUAAAAUUGGAACAAUACAAAGAAGUUUAGUAUGACCCUUGCGCAAGUAUAAAACACAUAAAUCGAGAAAUAGUAAUUUUUAUA